This is a long non-coding RNA of Rhopalosiphum padi (bird cherry-oat aphid), 556 nucleotides long. RefSeq lists it as uncharacterized. The transcript is spliced from 3 exons. The record is from RefSeq and is a predicted model, not a curated record. NCBI's taxonomy places the organism in Eukaryota, Metazoa, Arthropoda, Insecta, Hemiptera, Aphididae.
GCCAACACUGUACGGGAUAUAUUUGAUAUAUUAUUCCGUUUUCCUCCAAAAUCACAAAUUAUCAGUGAUUUUGUUAGCAGUUGGAUUCGAGUCACACAUCCCAUUGUAAAUGCAAUUUAUACUGAUAAAACAACAAUUAAAGCCCUUCAAAUUUACGAUAAAUGACUUUGAUGCUUACAACAUGAAACGGGACCGAUGGUAUCUAACUACUCUUGGGCAGGCCUUUACACCAGACGAACAAACACUUGCUGAUAUGGACCACGUUUUUAACAAGUACAAUUGGCCAUCACAUCCCACGUCAAAAGAAACGUUUAUUGAUAAUCCACGAACCCGCCCUACAUGCGAGGAUUGUGCAGAAGUGUCACUUCCAAGGAGACGACGAAAGCAUUUUCCAGAGCAAGUGACUUAUUUAUCUGGAGACUAACGGUGUUGCCCCUAAUGGAAUGUCGACAGUCACACCAUGAAAAACAUAAACAACUUACACUCUUACGUACAUAUGGUUUUUUUAUAUUUAUGUACAGUUUGUUUACUAUUGUCUCAUUCUAAAUUUAACUAA